Molecule: ribosomal RNA, 326 nt
Filed under: Myialges nr. caulotoon NKW-2006
Lineage: Eukaryota; Metazoa; Arthropoda; Arachnida; Sarcoptiformes; Epidermoptidae
Description: partial 12S ribosomal RNA
Source: RNAcentral
AUUAUAUGGAUAUAUUUAAGUAGUAAUAUAAGAUAUAAAAACUUAAUCUAUUUGGCGGUUUACUAACCUUACAUAGGAAUUUGCCAAAUUUAAUUGAUAACCCGCCUUUAAUUUCACCAGUUUUAAUUUUAUGUACGGCUGUUUAGUUUUAAUAUAAUAAUUUUUACUAAAAAUUUAAAUUCUAAAUUCAGGUCAAUGUGUAAAUAAUAAACUGGGUUUUGGUGAGUUACUAUAAUAAAAAAUGUUCAUAAAUUAACAAUUAAUAAGGAUAUGUUAGUAAAAUAAAAAUAAAUUAUAUAUUUGAUGAAGGAUCUAGUAAAAGUACA